This 927-nucleotide long non-coding RNA is filed under the name Olea europaea subsp. europaea. The stretch from base 218 to 318 matches the Rfam family "MIR394 microRNA precursor family". Lineage: Eukaryota; Viridiplantae; Streptophyta; Magnoliopsida; Lamiales; Oleaceae. The record is from RNAcentral.
AUUUACAGCUCUUCAAUUUUCUCUCUCUUAUUUACUGUAGUAGCUCAUCUUUCAUCUUAAAUAGUGCCCAACUGCCCUCUUUCUUACACCUCAUACUUGGUACUAAUAAUCCAGCCUUUUUCCCUGCACGUCUUUCAUUUGUGUAGGCGUGUGUGUGAUGUCAGUGGUGGAUUUUGUGUGUUCUUGGACUAGGUCAUGGCGGUUUAUCAAAGGGUUUCUACCAGAAUUUAUUGGCAUUCUGUCCACCUCCAUUCCUGUUAAGAAAUUUCAUUCUGAUGAUAUAUGGAGGUGGGCAUACUGCCAACUGAGUUCUGUUGAAUUCUCUUUGUAAAACCCUCGUGAAGCUCUUUCCCUUGUUUUCGACUGUAUACAGAGCCAAGGUAACGAACCCCUUGCAUAAAUUCGUGCAAAAUUUCUCUUUUUCUUUACCAUGCAUGUUAAGAAAUUUUAGAUGCUUAAUUUUUGUAUUAUUAAUCACACAGCAUUUUUCUUGGUCUUACAGUUUUUCUUUUUUAGUCUAUGGUGACUAUUUCUCUAUUUUUUGUUCGUUUGAAUCUAUGUUCUGCAGCAGCUAAUCUGGCGGCAAAAAGCUUCAGAAUCCAGAUGAAAUAGAAGUUAAACAAUAGAAUAGAACUUCUGCUAAGGAAUGGAACCCUACUUCUCAGAUUUUGUGUGUAAAUCAAUUAAAUCAUUUUCCUAGGAAAAUUUAUCUGGCUAGCUAGUUACUUUCAAGAUGUGUUGAUCACCUGCUUCGCAGCUCGUUGAUCACCUGCUUCGCAGCUCAACAGUCAAGAUCAUAAAAGGAGAAAUAGAGAUUUCUCCAUUGAUUUUCCGUCAAGAGAAGGAAAUCCCAGAAAAAGUUGGAAGAGGAAAAAACUUCCUAGUACAAAAUCUAUUUAUUGCCUUUUCAGUUUAAAUGUCAAACAG